Molecule: transfer RNA, 81 nt
Filed under: Alkalinema sp. RU_4_3
Lineage: Bacteria; Bacillati; Cyanobacteriota; Cyanophyceae; Leptolyngbyales; Leptolyngbyaceae
Description: tRNA-Leu
Rfam family: tRNA
About the family: Transfer RNA (tRNA) molecules are approximately 80 nucleotides in length.
Source: RNAcentral
GCGGGCAUGGCGGAAUGGUAGACGCGCUAGAUUUAGGUUCUAGUUUUUUCGGAAGUGAAGGUUCAAGUCCUUUUGCCCGCA